GAGAAAUUCGCCCUCACGGGUGACUCUCCAACCCUAUGUUAUUGUACCUUCGUUGCUUUGGCGAGCCGCCUCGUGCCACCGACUCUCGCCGGUGAGUGCUCGCCAGAGGACCUAAAACUCUUGUUUAAUCAUAUUGUCUGAGUACUAUAUAAUAGUUAAAACUUUCAACAACGGAUCUCUUGGUUCU
Molecule: unclassified non-coding RNA, 187 nt
Filed under: rhizosphere metagenome
Description: partial ribosomal RNA internal transcribed spacer region
Source: RNAcentral